This is a long non-coding RNA of Ceratitis capitata (Mediterranean fruit fly), 1610 nucleotides long. RefSeq lists it as uncharacterized. The record is from RefSeq and is a predicted model, not a curated record. The transcript is spliced from 4 exons. NCBI's taxonomy places the organism in Eukaryota, Metazoa, Arthropoda, Insecta, Diptera, Tephritidae.
UAAAACCCAAAUUAUUACAUUUUCCAAUGCCAAAAUCACAAAGCAGCAUUUUUUUUGUAUUGAGAAAUAAUCAUCAAAAUUCCACAACAAAAGCGUGUUAAUAGGAAUUUCCUCAUUAAUUGUAGGUUCGGAACCCGUUAUAUACUCCCAAAAUAAAAAAAUUUGAUAAGAAAGAAAUUAUUACACUCCACUAUCGAAAAGCAAAGAUCAAGCAAAUAUGCUACGGCUAAAUUACAGGAAUUCACGCACCAAAACCAAAAAGGGAGAAAGUGAGAAAUCAAAUUGAGGUUUGGAAAUUAAGUUAUUACACAUUUGUUUGCCGCUGCCGCCCUGCCGCCGUGCCGACCGUCCGACCAGCGAACGACUACUGUUGCUGCUGCAUAAAGAAGUAAUAAUUUUGUGGUCGAAAUUAGAUUAAUGGAUCAAUCAGCGUGGCUAGAAGCAGUUAGUAGUGGACCCAGUGGAGCAAUAGCUGCAUAAAGAAUCAAACAAACCUCAACCAUAGAGCUGGACUGUGGGCAGAGGUGAGGUUGAAUGGGUCGGUCAAGCGUCAUCUGGGCAACUAUUAAUACAUAUGUAUUGUACAUUGUAAGUAUGUAUGUAAAUGUGUUUAAUGCGUAAUUUACGUGCGACUACUCGGCCAUGGCUAUGGCUUAAUUAACGUGCGGCACAAUGCUGCUGCUUCUGUUGCCACUACUAUUUCUGCUGCUGUUGCUUAGGCUGAUGAUGAUGCUGUUGCUGUAGCCACACAUUUGCGGUCGACGUUAAGAGAUUCAACAGUUGAUGAACAGUUAUUGUUGCUAUUUUGCUCUUAUUUGCUGUUGAUUAUUCUUUUAUGCGCCUCAAGAAAUAACUUUUUUCCUUCUUUCUCCUCGACAUCCACUCAUUCCACGCAUGCACGUGCGUAUGUGCGUAUGUGUGUUAGUGUGUCACAGCCGUUGUGUUGUUCGCUUUGUAAGUAUGUCGGAGAAUUUGCUGGUUAAUGAAUAAUUGAAGCUGCUGGACGCAUGUGUUAAUGGUGUUUUGAAAGUUUUUCUCUUUGCCUUCGGAAUGCCAAUAUUCACUUUGGCCCUGCUAAAUCAUCUCCAAACAGAGGGACAAAACUCAGGCAUAUCCUUGCUUUGUAGGCACAUCCUUGCCUCUUACGUGCAGCUACCAAAUGCUAAAUAAGGCGCAUACACACUCGAACGAAGGCCCUUCACUUAACUUUCUACGCUCCUACCGGUUAGCGCGCUAAUAUAAGCGCCCAAGGCAGCCUGCAACUCCUUACUUUCUUUGUUGCCCCGGCCGCUGCAGCUACCUCUGCCUUCAAAAGCUAAGUCAGGCAUACACCUUCAUGCUACUGCCCACGUGACUUAUCGGCGAUUGCUUGGCUUACACGAACUUUUCCUUUAGCAAACGCCGAAUCAAGUUGAAGAGUAACGAAUUUUUAGCGCAAAAAGAAAAAAAGUUUUAUUUUUCAUAAGAAAAAAGUUCUUCAGCACGUUUUGGUGGAGAUAAUAAGAGUUCUUCUCUGUGUCUUUAAAAAAAGCGAAGAAUUUUUGGAGCUUCUUAAAGUGAAAAUGUGAAAUUUUUCGAGAAAAAAAUUCAUCUGAUCGGGCACUAACAUA